This is a long non-coding RNA of Calypte anna (Anna's hummingbird), 1821 nucleotides long. RefSeq lists it as uncharacterized. The record is from RefSeq and is a predicted model, not a curated record. Lineage: Eukaryota; Metazoa; Chordata; Aves; Apodiformes; Trochilidae. The transcript is spliced from 3 exons.
UCCCCCUCUGCUCCCCCCUUCCUUCCCCUUGCCGCCGCUACCGCCGCCGUGCUUGGGAGCGGGUGCCGCCACCGGCAUAUAUAGGCGGUUUUGACCUUUCAAUAGAGAGCUGAUUUUGGAGAAUGGCUUACUCCUGUGAUUGAAAAACUCUCUGAAGGUUGAUGGAGCAUGAGCAUGGGGAAUCUUUCAUUGAGGUGACUGAAAUUGCUGCAGUGAGAAUGGGAAUUACUUGAGCUCCUUCCCUUUUAAAAGCUGCAUGAAAGAACUGUGUGGUGAGUCAAAUGUAGACUAAUGGUUAUGUAAAUGUCACUAAUUUUAGAUACAGUCAAGAUCUGAAAGUGUGUUUCCUUAUAAGAUUUUAUUUUCUGCACUAUCAUGACUCAGUAUCACUCGCUAAUCUCAUUUUAUUAGCCCUGCUAUGUUUUACCAUUAAAAUACACGUGCCUUCUUCAAAUGCAUGUUCACAGAUUCAAGUUUAUACAUCAUAUAGAUGCUUGAAAGGGAGGGAAAAAAGCAUAUCUGCACUGGGGAUUUGUUUUGACUUCAGGCUUCACAGGCCUGCCACUGGUGCAGUUACACAGGUAGAAAUGUGCUGUAGAUCAAUAUAAAUCUAAGUUGUUGUAAUUCAUGAAUUUGUGUUAUUUAAUUGUAUAGAAUUUCAGCCUGGUGUGUGUGCAGGUAAAGAUGACACUUUGUCUGCCUCUGCUAUGAGUUUGAACUGAUGAAAUUACUGAUGGCUAAAAUUUUCAAUUUAGUUUAGACCUGAGCAGUUCUUAAUAGCACAGCUAUGCAGUAUUAGAUAGAUGACAGCUUUUCACAGAGUAAACACUUCUGUGCAUACAUUUACCUACUACAGGUCUCUGAAGAAACGUGGCCAAAAUGAGGUUGACUACUCAGAAAAAAAUCUGCUAUCUGGCUCAAAGUUGGAUAGCUUUCUCACUGAGGCUCCUUUAAGUAGCACUGUGCUCUAUUUUCUUGUCUGUGAUUGCUUAACCCUAAAGAACUGCACAUGCAUUUCAGCCAUUUGAAAACUUAGAAAUCCUUGGAAACAAUCAAACUUUGUCAAAAAGACAUUCUUCCAUUAUUCUCCUCCAUUUGAAGGUUCUUGAUAUUUGUUAGCACACUGCAAACUGUGGUGCUUCCAGAGGGCCAUCCAUCCUUCUACUCUUUGGAUCAGUAAUUUAAUCUAAGUUUUCUCUAGGAAUUAUAUGAAUAGAAGGGAAUAUAAGGAGCUAAUAAAAAAGAUUUGGGAGGAGGCAACAUGAAAGUCUAUUUGCAUGGCUUUGUCCAAGCCCAGUGGCCAAACCAUUUCAUCCAGGCUACUUCAUUAUGCCAGUUUCAGGCUUCCAUGUGAAUUCUGAAACAGACUUUUUCCCUCUGGUUCACCAUGCACAACCCUGUAAGUGGCACAAGGCACAGGAUGGCAGGGGAUGGGAAGAAGCAGAAGGGGAAAGAUUGGACAGCCUUGUUUAGUGGCCCUAGCAGCUUGUAACAGUUGAGUGACAUAAUGAAAAUACAAUUUGAGCAUCUGGAGAACCAGGGCUCAACUGAGGAACAAAAGUAUUACUUCAAGUUUUUAUGACUGCUUACUUAAAUUCUCAGUUCCUAAACCUUUGAAAAGAAUGAUGGAUUUCUCUCAUGGCUCACAGCUGCCUUAAUUUAUAUUAGCAAUUGUAUUUUCCAGAGGUUUACCUGCAUGGGCCAAGCCAUAGCCCAUGGCAGGGUGGUGCUCUCUCUGCGUUGCAGCUCUGUGGUCCUAAGAAUUGGUCCUGAUAUAAGAAAGGGAGGCUCUCUAUUUUCAGCUUAGGUGGUUGUUUUCUG